This 482-nucleotide ribosomal RNA is filed under the name uncultured bacterium. Its description in RNAcentral is "partial 16S ribosomal RNA". It matches the Rfam family "Bacterial small subunit ribosomal RNA", at positions 29 to 505 of the family's 1533-position model. The record is from RNAcentral.
AUUGAACGCUGGCGGCAUGCUUUACACAUGCAAGUCGAACGGCAGCGCGGGCUUCGGCCUGGCGGCGAGUGGCGAACGGGUGAGUAAUACAUCAGAACGUGCCCAGUAGUGGGGGAUAGCUCGGCGAAAGCCGGAUUAAUACCGCAUACGACCUGAGGGUGAAAGCGGGGGAUCUUCGGACCUCGCGCUAUUGGAGCGGCCGAUGGCAGAUUAGCUAGUUGGUGGGGUAAAGGCCUACCAAGGCGACGACCUGUAGCUGGUCUGAGAGGACGACCAGCCACACUGGGACUGAGACACGGCCCAGACUCCUACGGGAGGCAGCAGUGGGGAAUUUUGGACAAUGGGCGAAAGCCUGAUCCAGCAAUGCCGCGUGUGUGAUGAAGGCCUUCGGGUUGUAAAGCACUUUUGGCGGGAACGAAAAGGACUGUGCCAAUACCACGGUUCGAUGACGGUACCCGCAGAAUAAGCACCGGCUAACUACG